This 71-nucleotide transfer RNA is filed under the name Dothistroma septosporum NZE10. RNAcentral's name for it is "tRNA-Arg for anticodon CCG". It matches the Rfam family "tRNA". From Rfam's summary of the family: Transfer RNA (tRNA) molecules are approximately 80 nucleotides in length. Lineage: Eukaryota; Fungi; Ascomycota; Dothideomycetes; Mycosphaerellales; Mycosphaerellaceae. The record is from Rfam by way of RNAcentral.
ACCCUUGUAGUGUAAUGGUAGCACGCUUUCUUCCGGCGGAAGUAAUCCUCGUUCGAAUCGGGGCAGGGGUG